AGCACCACCUGCGCAUCCGGGGGGUGACGCUGGAGGACGACGACGUUUUCCAGUGCCAGGUGGGGGAGGGGAACGGCACCCGGCCCCGCGCCUCCCGCCCCGCCCAGCUCACCGUGCUGGUGCCGCCGGGUGCCCCCACCCUGGAGCUGCCCCCGGGGGGCGGAGCUGCCGUGGGUGGGCGGGGCCGAGGUGCACGUGCGCUGCCACGCCCCCGACGCGCGCCCCCCCGCGCGCCUCAGCCUCACUCUGGGGGGGGAGCCGCUGCCCGACGUCUCCACCCGCGUCUUCGAGGGCUCCCACCCCAAACUCAGCUCCAGCGAGGCCACCGCC
Molecule: long non-coding RNA, 330 nt
Organism: Chroicocephalus ridibundus (black-headed gull)
Lineage: Eukaryota; Metazoa; Chordata; Aves; Charadriiformes; Laridae
Exons: 3
Source: RefSeq, a predicted model, not a curated record